CCUAGUAAGCGUGAGUCAUCAGCUCGCGUUGAUUACGUCCCUGCCCUUUGUACACACCGCCCGUCGCUACUACCGAUUGAAUGGCUUAGUGAGACCCUCGGAUUGUAGGCUGUUCUGUUGGCAACAACAUACGGCUCGCGAGAAGUUGGUCAAACUUGGUCAUUUAGAGGAAGUAAAAGUCGUAACAAGGUUUCCGUAGGUGAACCUGCGGAAGGAUCAUUAAAAAAGAAUCGAAAGAUUCGCUUUUUUUGAAACUCUACUAUACUACUACUUUGUAGGCAGUAGAGUUUUUUCCAAACUCCGAUAAAACAUCGUCGCUUGACGAAAUCUCAAAUAAAAAUAAAAAAAACUUUCAACAAUGGAUCUCUUGGCUCUCGCAUCGAUGAAGAACGCAGCGAAUUGCGAUAAGUAGUGUGAAUUGCAGAAUUCUGUGAAUCAUCGAAUCUUUGAACGCAUAUUGCGCUCUCUGGUAUUCCGGAGAGCAUGCCUGUUUGAGGGUAAUUAAAUAAAUCUUUGACUAUUUUUUUAGUCAAGGGAUGUUGGGUUCUCCGCACUUUGUAGCGGUAGCCUGAAAUAUAUGGUUAGUCUCAUUUUGUUGAGAUGCGUAAUAAUAUUUAUUUCGCGAAAAAUCAUCAAUGAGAUUCUACCAAGUUUUGACGCAUACAGUCUAAUCUGUCUAAGUUGCCACGCUAACCCAAUGCGUUAAUACAAAUAUUUUUGAACAUUACCUCAAAUCAGGUAGGAAUACCCGCUGAACUUAAGCAUAUCAAUAAGCGGAGGAAAAGAAACUAACCAGGAUUCCCCUAGUAACGGCGAGCGAAGCGGGAAUAGCUCAAAUUUUAAAUCGGACUUUUGUUCGAGUUGUAAUUUGAAGAGACGUUUUCACGUCAUUUACCAGGUCUAAGUGCUUUGGAAUAAGCCAUCAGAGAGGGUGAGAAUCCCGUCUUUGAUCUGGUUAUUGGCGGUACGAUACGUCCUCUAAGAGUCGAGUUGUUUGGGAUUGCAGCUCAAAAUGGGUGGUAAAUUCCAUCUAAGGCUAAAUAUAGGCGAGAGACCGAUAGCGAACAAGUACCGUGAGGGAAAGAUGAAAAGCACUUUGAAAAGAGAGUUAAAUAGUACGUGAAAUUGUUGAAAGGGAAACGAUUGAAGCCAGUCGUGCCGGCGGAAAAUCAACUUAUAGGCUACUAUGAGUGCACUUUUUCGCAAGGCAGGUUAGCAUCGGUUUCAGUUGCGUUAUAAUAAUCAUGGGAAGGUAGCUUCUUCGGAAGUGUUAUAGCCUGUGGUAGAUGACGUGACAGAGACCGAGGAUUGCAGCGAAUGCCUUUUAGGCUACGUGUCUGGUCUCUGGCUAUCAGUAACUUGCUCGUCAGCUUGCUGAAGAACUCGUUAAGGAUUUUCAAAGGUUCAGAACGCGAUAAAUUCGCUAAGGAUGCUGACGUAAUGGCUUUAAACGACCCGUCUUGAAACACGGACCAAGGAG
Molecule: small RNA, 1480 nt
Filed under: uncultured Archaeosporales
Lineage: Eukaryota; Fungi; Glomeromycota; Glomeromycetes; Archaeosporales
Description: eukaryotic LSU rRNA
Rfam family: Eukaryotic large subunit ribosomal RNA (bases 725-1480)
Source: RNAcentral